RNAcentral lists this non-coding RNA (92 nucleotides) under uncultured Phascolarctobacterium sp. RNAcentral's name for it is "NiCo riboswitch". It matches the Rfam family "NiCo (Nickel/Cobalt) riboswitch aptamer". Lineage: Bacteria; Bacillati; Bacillota; Negativicutes; Acidaminococcales; Acidaminococcaceae. The record is from RNAcentral.
ACAGUACAAACUGAUCAGGCGGUUUACCUCCAGUGGUUUUUGCAGCCGGGCCCUUUGGGCAGCAGACUAAAAAUUAACGUCUGCGGGACAGU